Long non-coding RNA from Spinacia oleracea (spinach), 487 nucleotides. RefSeq lists it as uncharacterized. The record is from RefSeq and is a predicted model, not a curated record. Lineage: Eukaryota; Viridiplantae; Streptophyta; Magnoliopsida; Caryophyllales; Amaranthaceae. The transcript has 3 exons.
UCCUCGCUGCGGCAAGUAACUUUCUCCCCUGUCCCUUUUUAUUUUCGUUUUCAAAAUUAGGGUUUGUUCAUUUUUCAUUUUUGCAGAGAAAGCCAAAGAAAUUGUUGGCUGACAAGAUUAGGAGAAAAUACAUACGUUUAUCUCGGAGACUUCCUCCACCCUUUUGAAGGGCGCAUAUACCAGUAAAAAACCGUACUGUUAUAAUACUCGAGACAGAUACUGGAGAACAAUACGAAGCCAAUUAUCUGCCUCAAUAUCGUGGACUCAGUGGUGGGUGGAAAAGGUUUGCCAUAGUUCUGAAAUUGGAAGGAGAUACUGUUGUUUUUCAACUAGUUGAACCUGCCAAAUUUAAGUCUACCUCUUCUAGAAUCAAAUCACUAAACUAGUUGAAGCUGAGGAUAAAAGCUGCUAAUGAAGCUGAGGCGGCUUGCCAACGGCGUCUCUCUGUUGCUGAGGCUGAAAUAGCUGAUUUAAGAUCCAAAUUGGA